GAUANCCGAAACCGCGCAAGGCUCAUUACAACAGCUAAAAUGUAUACGGUGAGAUACCAUUAAAUGGAUAUCUGCGGUAAAUCUGGAGCUAAUACAUGCAUAAAAGAUUGUAUAAUUAUGUUGUACGGUUGCAGUUAUUAGAUUAAAACCAAUGGGCUCUGCCCAUAUAAGUUAACUCUAGAUAAUGCGUUACCAUACAGAUUAAUUUCUGAUGGAAUGCCGUAUUUGUAUCUGCCCUAUCAACUAUAUAACCGUGUAUUGAACGGUUAUGGUGUUGCCGGGUAACGGAGAAUUAGGGUUCGUCUCCGGAGAGAAUGCCUUAAAAACGGCUUUCACAUCCAAGGAAGGCAGCAGGCGCGAAAAUUACCCACUCUCAGUGCGAGGAGGUAGUGACGUGAAAUGACAAGUUCCAUUCUUUAUAGGAUGGAACAUUGGAAUGGUUUAAUUUUAAAUCCAUUGAAGAUUAUCAAUGAGAGGGCAAGUCUGGUGCCAGCAGCCGCGGUAAUUCCAGCUCUCAUACUGCAUUGAAUUGCUGUUGCGGUUAAAAAGUUCGUAGUUGCAAGUGUACGGAGUGGGAUGGUUUAACUUUUUGGUUAAUACUAUUUCCUCCCGUUAAANAGUUUAUAUGGGUAAAAAACCCUAUAUACCUCCAUUACUUUGAAUAAAUCCAAAAGGGUUUAAACAAGCGUAUUUGGUUGAAAAGGGUGUGCGUGGGAAAAACCAUACACAGGGCUUGGAAUUUGGUUUGGUGGGUUUAAAGGGCCNAGGAAAGGAUUAAAAGGGAAACAACGGGGGGGCAAAAUUUUUCAAAGGGNNGAAGGGGUAAANNUUCGGGAACCCUUUGGAAAAAUUGCCAAAANGAAAAACUUUUCCCCAAAAAAGUGAAAA
Molecule: ribosomal RNA, 888 nt
Filed under: Halicephalobus sp. CFB163
Lineage: Eukaryota; Metazoa; Nematoda; Chromadorea; Rhabditida; Panagrolaimidae
Description: SSU rRNA
Rfam family: Eukaryotic small subunit ribosomal RNA
Source: RNAcentral